AGAAUCAACGCUGGCGGCGUGCCUAACACAUGCAAGUCGCACGAGAAAGCGGGAGCAAUCCUGCAAGUAAAGUGGCGUACGGGUGAAUAACACGUGAAUCAUCUACCUUCGAGUGUGGAAUAACUGAGAGAAAUCUUAGCUAAUACCGCAUAAUACUUACGAGUCAAAGCAGCAAUGCGCUUGAAGAGGAGUUCGCGGCAGAUUAGUUAGUUGGCGGGGUAAUGGCCCACCAAGACGAUGAUCUGUA
This 247-nucleotide ribosomal RNA is filed under the name uncultured bacterium. RNAcentral's name for it is "partial small subunit ribosomal RNA". It matches the Rfam family "Bacterial small subunit ribosomal RNA", at positions 26 to 285 of the family's 1533-position model. The record is from RNAcentral.